This 373-nucleotide ribosomal RNA is filed under the name uncultured bacterium. RNAcentral describes it as "bacterial SSU rRNA". It matches the Rfam family "Bacterial small subunit ribosomal RNA", at positions 521 to 896 of the family's 1533-position model. The record is from RNAcentral.
UAAUACGGAGGGUGCAAGCGUUGUCCGGAUUUAUUGGGUUUAAAGGGUGCGUAGGCGGCCCGAUAAGUCCGUGGUGAAAGCCUCCAGCUCAACUGGAGAACUGCCAUGGAUACUGUCGGGCUUGAGUACAGACGAGGUAGGCGGAAUUGAUUGUGUAGCGGUGAAAUGCAUAGAUACAAUCAAGAACUCCGAUUGCGUAGGCAGCUUACUAGGCUGUAACUGACGCUGAGGCACGAAAGCGUGGGGAGCGAACAGGAUUAGAUACCCUGGUAGUCCACGCUGUAAACGAUGAUUACUCGAUGUUGGCGAUAAACUGUCAGCGUCUUAGCGAAAGCGUUAAGUAAUCCACCUGGGGAGUACGCCCGCAAGGGUG